This 20-nucleotide small RNA is filed under the name Caenorhabditis elegans. RNAcentral's name for it is "Unclassified non-coding RNA K02E2.13". The record is from RNAcentral. Lineage: Eukaryota; Metazoa; Nematoda; Chromadorea; Rhabditida; Rhabditidae.
UUGCAGAUAACUGGUACAAG